RNAcentral lists this ribosomal RNA (252 nucleotides) under uncultured archaeon. RNAcentral's name for it is "partial 16S ribosomal RNA". It matches the Rfam family "Archaeal small subunit ribosomal RNA", at positions 474 to 727 of the family's 1478-position model. The record is from RNAcentral.
AACCAGCACCUCAAGUGGUCAGGAUGAUUAUUGGGCCUAAAGCAUCCGUAGCCGGCUCUGUAAGUUUUCGGUUAAAUCUGUACGCUCAACGUACAGGCUGCCGGGAAUACUGCAGAGCUAGGGAGUGGGAGAAGUAGACGGUACUCGGUAGGAAGUGGUAAAAUGCUUUGAUCUAUCGAUGACCACCUGUGGCGAAGGCGGUCUACUAGAACACGUCCGACGGUGAGGGAUGAAAGCUGGGGAUCAAACAGG